AUAAACACGACAAUAGAUUCAUAUUAAAUAGAAGAUAGAGAUUUAU
This 46-nucleotide non-coding RNA is filed under the name Trypanosoma brucei brucei. The record is from RNAcentral. Lineage: Eukaryota; Euglenozoa; Kinetoplastea; Trypanosomatida; Trypanosomatidae.